RNAcentral lists this ribosomal RNA (387 nucleotides) under Comatricha ellae. Its description in RNAcentral is "partial small subunit ribosomal RNA". It matches the Rfam family "Eukaryotic small subunit ribosomal RNA", at positions 76 to 405 of the family's 1831-position model. Lineage: Eukaryota; Evosea; Eumycetozoa; Stemonitida; Stemonitidae. The record is from RNAcentral.
UAUCUCCGAAUCUGCGAACGGCUCCGCAAACCAGUUGCAAACCAAGGCGAGUCUCCGCUCCCCCUUCGGGGGGCUGCUUAUAUGGAUAACCGUGGUAAUUCUGAGGCUAAUACAUGACACAAACCUAGCCGCCCGGCUUGCCCCUCGGGGCGGUCGCGGUGGCGGGGGGCGUGCGAUCACAGGCUGGGUACAUCGGGACUGGACGCACGUUCAGACCACCACUCAGGGCCUUGUGGGAGCGGGGGGCAACCCCCGUGACCGCUUGGCCUGGUGGCGCCCGCAUCGGACUCCUGACCUAUCAACUAGACGGCAGCAGAGGGGACAUGCCACGGUGGCAACGGGUACAGAGGAUUAGGGUUCGAUCCUGGAGAGUGGGCCUGAGAGAUU